RNAcentral lists this ribosomal RNA (433 nucleotides) under uncultured bacterium. RNAcentral's name for it is "partial 16S ribosomal RNA". It matches the Rfam family "Bacterial small subunit ribosomal RNA", at positions 29 to 507 of the family's 1533-position model. The record is from RNAcentral.
AACGAACGCUGGCAGCAUGUCUAACACAUGCAAGUCGAACGAGACCUUCGGGUCUAGUGGCGCACGGGUGCGUAACGCGUGGGAACCUGCCCUUAGGUUCGGAAUAACUCCCCGAAAGGGGUGCUAAUACCGGAUAAUGUCUUCGGACCAAAGAUUUAUCGCCUUUGGAUGGGCCCGCGUUGGAUUAGCUAGUUGGUAGGGUAAAAGCCUACCAAGGCGACGAUCCAUAGCUGGUCUGAGAGGAUGAUCAGCCACACUGGGACUGAGACACGGCCCAGACUCCUACGGGAAGCAGCAGUGGGGAAUAUUGGACAAUGGGCGAAAGCCUGAUCCAGCAAUGCCGCGUGAGUGAUGAAGGCCUUAGGGUUGUAAAGCUCUUUUACCCGGGAUGAUAAUGACAGUACCGGGAGAAUAAGCUCCGGCUAACUCCGUG